RNAcentral lists this long non-coding RNA (572 nucleotides) under Triticum aestivum (bread wheat). RNAcentral's name for it is "long non-coding RNA (TAES_LNC019271)". Lineage: Eukaryota; Viridiplantae; Streptophyta; Magnoliopsida; Poales; Poaceae. The record is from RNAcentral.
CUGCUUUGGAUAAUCUUUUGAAGAUUUAUUUCCGGCUCAAUGGUACUCAGCAGAAGGCUUUCCGGUCAACAUUGGCCAGCAUCGAUUGCCCCAACUGGCCUGCUGCAAAAAGUUACUGCAUUUUUGAACCUCUGGUUACUUAUCAAGUGAACAAGCGUGGCUUCGAUACAUACCUAGAAGAGCACUUUGAUUGUUUACUCAUUUUGCGAAACCAUAAUGAGCACGGCAAAGUGGUACUAAAUGUCUAAUCUCUCUAUUAUAACUGUUUCCCUUUUAUUGUUUGCUGUUGUUCUAAAGAUUAGUUUAAAUUACAGUUGGAAUGGGAAUUGCUUGACUAUGCCUCAGUUGCGUGCUUCGGAGAUUUUGUUCAGGAUUCUUUCUUGGGUCUUAUGCUAAAGGGCUAUGAAGUUCAUAAAGCCCUUGCUUAAAGGUAACAAGUCAUUUGUUCCUAAAUUCUGUUCUUAUAGCCACUGUUGGGUAAAUAUUUCUUGGAUAAUUUGUGGUAGAUUCUUAGAUAGGGACAUAAAAUUGGAUAACAUUGUUCCUAGUCUUUGGUUCCCUCUUUGUUUCUU